GGAACAGCCUAGAAGCAGGGCCUGGAACUGCAGGAUACACUCCCCUCCUGCUACCUAGGCAGGCGUGAGGGUGUGACGGCCGCGCAUUCGCCAGACGAGAGCGAUGGCUGAGAACGCCGCACCAGGUCUGAUCUCAGAGCUGAAGCUGGCUGUGCCCUGGGGCCACAUCGCAGCCAAAGCCUGGGGCUCCCUGCAGGGCCCUCCAGUUCUCUGCCUGCACGGCUGGCUGGACAAUGCCAGCUCCUUCGACAGACUCAUCCCUCUUCUCCCGCAAGACUUUUAUUACGUUGCCAUGGAUUUCGGAGGUCAUGGGCUCUCGUCCCAUUACAGCCCAGGUGUCCCAUAUUACCUCCAGACUUUUGUGAGUGAGAUCCGAAGAGUUGUGGCAGCCUUGAAAUGGAAUCGAUUCUCCAUUCUGGGCCACAGCUUCGGUGGCGUCGUGGGCGGAAUGUUUUUCUGUACCUUCCCCGAGAUGGUGGAUAAACUUAUCUUGCUGGACACGCCGCUCUUUCUCCUGGAAUCAGAUGAAAUGGAGAACUUGCUGACCUACAAGCGGAGAGCCAUAGAGCACGUGCUGCAGGUAGAGGCCUCCCAGGAGCCCUCGCACGUGUUCAGCCUGAAGCAGCUGCUGCAGAGGUGGGUGCCCGGUGUGGACGGGGAGCUGGUGGGGUCCAGGGGAGGACAUCCCGUGAGACGUGGAGAAGCUUCUUUCUCCCUCUCACCCAACAAGCCUGUUUCUCCCUGGGGUCACGCUGAGCACCAGGCUUCCCAGGGUCUUCAGGGACGUUCUCUCUUUCCCUCUGCCCCUGCUCCAGCCAUGCCCCUUACUUCCAAUACCCUCCCCACACCUCUCACGCACCCGCCUCUCUCCCAAGCACAUGCUGCUUCCACGCCUUCUCUCCCCUCUGGGACUCCAGCCUGGGCUCCCUUACCUGGAAUUCUCCCCUGUGCUUGCUCACUGGCUUCCCCACUCCUUGGGGCCUCAGCUGGGAACCCUGCCCUGACACCCCCAGGCAAGCUGUCCCUGCCCUGCAGGUAACCACACUGUCCAAUAAGAGCCUAUUGAUUCCUCUGUUUCCCGAGGCAUGUGAACUCCGCAACCCCCACUAUGGCUGAUUUGGUCAUCUUUGUGCCUCCUGCAUCUGGCAGUGGGCCUGGUAGGUCAGAGCUCCACACAUAUUUGUUGUCUGAAGGAGGAGAAGCCCCCCACUGCCCCACCACACGCACGCGCACACACACCCACACACACACACCCUGCCGCUGUAAACAUGCAAUCGAAACACGGGACACAGGCCAGGCGCAGUGGCUCACACCUGUAAUCCCAGCACAUUGGGAAGCUGAGGUGGGAAGAUAGCUUGAGCCCAGGAGUUAGAGACCAGCCUGAGCGAGAUAGCGAGACCCUGUAUUUAAAAAAAAAAAAAAAAAAAAAUUAGCUGGUCGUGGUGGCACACGCCUGUGGUCCCAGCUACUCAGCAGCCUUAGUUGGGAGGAGUGCUUAGCCCCAGGAGGUCGAGGCUGCAGACAGCCAUGAUCAUGCCACUGCACUCCAGUUUGGGUGACAGUGAGACCCUGUUUCAAAAGGAAAACAAGGGCCGGGCACGGUGGCUCACGCCUGUAAUCCCAGCUACUCAGGAGGCUGAGGCAGGAGAAUCGCUUGAAUGGGAGGCAGAGGUUGCCGUGAGCCGAGAGAGCACCACUGCACUGCAGCCUGGGCGACAGAGCGAGACUCCAUCUCAAGAAAAAAAAAAAAAAAGAAAUUACAUAGGUGACAUAAUACAUAAUGAUUGUCAAUUUAACCGUUUGUAAGUGUGCACUUCAGUGGCAUUAAAUACAGUCGAUGGAGGUGAGGAGAGGAGGGAGACAUCCCAGGCACUGGCUGCUGCACAGGGAAAAGCUCGAAGUCAGCUCGGUGCAUCUGUUGAGAGGGGGAUUCCUGAUAGAGGCUGUGAAGAUUAAAGAGGGGAGGGGCAGGAUGACAAAGGUUCUCAAAAAACAGCGUCCCAUCUGGAGGCCUGUGUCACUGGAGACUUGUAUUAAUAGAAACUUGGCCAUCUCUGCCAGUGAGGGGCUGUAGGACCUUGGGCAAGGUGCUUACCCUCUCUGAGCCUUGGUUGUCUCACGUGCAAAAAGAAAGUGCUUUCAUUCGCUCAGCUGGUUUAUGAGCAGCUUGGCUAGGGGAGCCAAGCCCUGGGCCUGCCUUUGAAGGGUUGUUGUCGAGACUAGGUGAGGUCAUGUGUGUUGAGUGGCCUCGCACAGUGCUGUCGCUUCAGGUGCUCAUGGCCUGUGCUAUUUUGUGAUUGUUAAAAUAUGGUAGAACAUUGGACACAUGUGAGACACUGUCAUUAGAGGUGGGGAUGCUCUAACUGCAGGGAGACCGCUGAGAGCUGCUGCCCAGGCCCAGGCCAAGAGAUGAGGCUUGGACCAGGGCGUCAGCCAAUGGUCUGGGAAUGUUAACGUGUUUGUCUUUGAUCCGUGUGGGAUUUGUUCUUGAGCAUGGUGUCAGAUAGUGAUUCAUUUUCUUUUUUUUUUUUCAUGUUUUAAAAGUUCUAUUUUUCUUUAUUAUUAUUAUUAUUAUUAUUAUAUUAUUAUUAUUAUUGAUACAGAGUCUCGCUCUUGUUGCAAAGGCUGGAGUGCAAUGGCACCAUCUCAGCUCACUGCAACGUUCGCCUCCCAGGUUCGAGUGAUUCUCCUGUCUCAGCCCCCAAGUAGCUGGGAUUACAGGCACCCACCACCACACCUGGCUAAUUUUUGUGUUUUUAGUGGAGAUGGGGUUUCACCAUGUUGUCCAGGCUGGUCUCGAACUCCUGACCUCAGGUGAUCUGCCUGCCUCGACCUCCCAAAGUGCUGGGAUUACAGGCAUGAGCCACAGUGUUCGGUCUAUUUGAAUUGUAGAGACAGGGUCUCCCUCUGUCACCCAGACUGGAGUGCCAUGGCUCAAUCAUGGCUCACGCAGCCUCAACCUCCUGGGCUGAAGUGAUCUUCCCACCUCAGCCUCCCGAGUAGCUAGGACUACAGGUGUGCGCUAUCACACCCAGCUAAGUUUUUUACUUUUGUAGAGACAGGGUCGUGCCAUGUUGCCCAGGCUGGUCUUGAAUGCCUGGGCUCAAGCUAUCCUCCCGCCUGUUUCCCAAAGUACUGGGAUUAUAGGUGUGAGCCACUGCAGCCAGCCAUUGUAAUUGUUUUUCUAGAUGAACAGCUAGUUAUUCCAAUACCAGCUGUUGGGUGGUCCUCCCUACCCACUAAGGCUCACUCACUGGUGGUUUGUCCCUUGUGUGUGCUGACCUUCGUGGUGGGAGUUUAUUGCCAGAUCCUAGUCAAUCUGACUUUUGGAGAUGCCCCUUUCCCUGUCCUUAGGGACCAUGUCUUAUGUGACCUGAUCUGUAGUGGGAUCUGUGAUCACCCAUAAUGCUGGAAGGAGGAGGCUUCCCAGGGAUGGAAAGACUUCGUUAGGACAUAAACUAAAUUGCAGAAGAUACACAUUCCAAGAUGGGGCUGGCCCAAAAUUCUUUUUUUUUAUUUUUAUUUUUUAAAUUUCUGGCCAGGUGCAGUGGCUCACGCCUGUAAUCCCAGCACUUUAGGAGGCCGAGGCAGGCAGAUCACUUGAGGCCAGGAGUUAAAGACCAGCCUGGCCAACAUGGUGAAACCCUGUCUCUACCAAAAAAUACAAAAAUUAGCCGGGAGUGGUGACACACACCUGUAGUCCCAGCCACUUGGGAGGCUGAGGCAGGAGAAUCGCUUGAACCCGGGAGGCGGAGGUUGCGGUAAGCUGAGAUCACGCCAUUGCACUCCAGCCUGGGCAACAAGAGCAAAAAAAAAAAAAAAAAAAGGUUCUAUAAAUUCUUCUCAUAUUUUUAUUUAACAUCCACAAUGUGAUUUAAGAUGUAAUCAACAUAAAGCUUGAUUGCAUUAUUUUGCAUGCUGUUUUCCAAAUCCAGCUUCGUGUCACACCUACAGCACAUCUCACUCAAGCUGGCCACAUCCCCGCCAUCCAGACGUAAAACAGUCACAAGACAGGGCAGGCAGGGCCGCGGAGGAGGCUGGCUGGGGCCAUCACGGAGUGCCCAUCCUGCACUGUGGUCCCAGCAAGUUUCUUUCUCCUGGCAAGAAGCCUGUCCCAGGCUGGCAGGGGACAGCGUGAGGUGCAGCCUAUGGACUGGGAAAGGGGUGUGGAAGGGCCACACCUAAGUCCUAAAAUCCAGGCCCAAAAGUGGCCCAACUCACUUCUCUGACUUUAAUCACACAGCCAUACCUGGUGGCAAAGGAGUAUUGGAAAUGGAGUCAGGCUGGGUAGCCACGAGCCCAGGAAGAGGGGAGAACAGACUUGGAGAGGGCAGGAGUCUCUGGCCACCAGGGGCUAAAGAGCCUUCGAUGAGGCAGUGAUGUGGGGUCCUGGGCUCAGACCCAGGGUGGGUGGCUAAGGUGCCCUCGCCAGGGCUUAGCCACCCCAACAGAGAUGGGUUUCGUGCCCACGAGAGUGCCUGUGCCUUGUGACGAGAAUUCACCAUGUUUUUGUCUCUGCAGGCAGAGAACAGCAUUGACUUCGUCAGCAGGGAGCUGUGUGCGCAUUCCAUCAGGAAGCUGCAGGCCCAUGUCCUGUUGAUCAAAGCAGUCCACGGAUAUUUUGAUCCAAGAGAGAAUUACUCUGACAAGGAGUCCCUGUCGUUCAUGAUAGACACAAUGAAAUCCACCCUCAAAGAGGACUACUUCGGAUACAAUCACAGCAACCCUGGCCUCGGCCCUGCCCUGUCCCUGCCAUGCAACUUCACAACUCAGCUGGCCUAGACCCCUGGGAGGCCUCCAAGUCCCUAAGCGGUUCCAGUUUGUGGAAGUCCCAGGCAAUCACUGUGUCCACAUGAGCGAACCCCAGCACGUGGCCAGUAUCAUCAGCUCCUUCUUACAGUGCACACACACGCUCCCAGCCCAGCCUAGGAUGGUAGUCAGGGGAAGGAGCGAGAUUCCAACUUCAAC
RNAcentral lists this long non-coding RNA (4968 nucleotides) under Homo sapiens (human). RNAcentral's name for it is "non-protein coding lnc-SERHL2-1:11". Lineage: Eukaryota; Metazoa; Chordata; Mammalia; Primates; Hominidae. The record is from RNAcentral.